This 497-nucleotide ribosomal RNA is filed under the name uncultured bacterium. RNAcentral describes it as "partial 16S ribosomal RNA". It matches the Rfam family "Bacterial small subunit ribosomal RNA", at positions 28 to 507 of the family's 1533-position model. The record is from RNAcentral.
GAUGAACGCUGGCGGCGUGCCUAAUACAUGCAAGUCGAGCGAACGGAUGAGAAGCUUGCUUCUCUGAUGUUAGCGGCGGACGGGUGAGUAACACGUGGAUAACCUACCUAUAAGACUGGGAUAACUUCGGGAAACCGUAGCUAAUACCGGAUAAUAUUUUGAACCGCAUGGUUCAAAAGUGAAAGACGGUCUUGCUGUCACUUAUAGAUGGAUCCGCGCUGCAUUAGCUAGUUGGUAAGGUAACGGCUUACCAAGGCAACGAUGCAUAGCCGACCUGAGAGGGGGAUCGGCCACACUGGAACUGAGACACGGUCCAGACUCCUACGGGAGGCAGCAGUAGGGAAUCUUCCGCAAUGGGCGAAAGCCUGACGGAGCAACGCCGCGUGAGUGAUGAAGGUCUUCGGAUCGUAAAACUCUGUUAUUAGGGAAGAACAUAUGUGUAAGUAACUGUGCACAUCUUGACGGUACCUAAUCAGAAAGCCACGGCUAACUACGUG